AUGACGUUCACCGACGAGUACAAGGGCGAUAAGGCCGUGGAGGCACACGGCAACACCAAGUUGCACGUCAUCCACACCAACGACAAGAAGCAGAUGGCGAUCUCCCUCGCGCAAACAAACACGAGAGAGCAGAGGAGAGUCAUGGCGGAUGCACCUCUGUACAAGCAGCGCCGCAAGUACACCAAGGAGCUCCACGACAUCCACCUCCACGGCAAUCACAAGCUCCACGUCCUUUGCACAAGCAACGGUAAAGACGUGGACAAGAUGUUGUCCACGUUUAGGAGGAAGCUCGGCGGAAUGCCCGUCAAACUAGUCGGCAUUGAUGUCGAGUACACGCACUACAUGAAGCCACAGCGGGCAGCAGUGCUUCAGCUAUGCAUAGAAAAAGAAUGCCUUGUCUACCACAUCGCUGCAGCUAAUGACAGGCCAAUGGAACUAGACAAAUUCCUCAUGAAUGAUGAGUACACCUUCGUCAGAUUCGCUAUUGAAGGAGACAAAAGCAAGCUGAAGGUAUCUGGUUUGGAGAUCAACUCCGACAACUAUAUUGAUAUUCAGGUGGAAUGGAGAGACCCAUACAAUAAAAAGAAGUUUGACUCUUUGGCUGAUGUUGCCGGCCGAAUGAUAGGCAUCACUACCAUGACAUGA
Molecule: ribosomal RNA, 645 nt
Filed under: Triticum aestivum (bread wheat)
Lineage: Eukaryota; Viridiplantae; Streptophyta; Magnoliopsida; Poales; Poaceae
Description: partial small subunit ribosomal RNA
Source: RNAcentral